This 87-nucleotide transfer RNA is filed under the name Desulfuromonas sp. RNAcentral describes it as "tRNA-Leu". It matches the Rfam family "tRNA". From Rfam's summary of the family: Transfer RNA (tRNA) molecules are approximately 80 nucleotides in length. Lineage: Bacteria; Pseudomonadati; Thermodesulfobacteriota; Desulfuromonadia; Desulfuromonadales; Desulfuromonadaceae. The record is from RNAcentral. RNAcentral also lists the same sequence under 3 other names.
GCCGAAGUGGUGGAACUGGUAGACACGCUAGGUUCAGGGUCUAGUGGCCGUAGGGCCGUGGGAGUUCGAGUCUCCCCUUCGGCACCA